GGGCCCGCACAAGCGGUGGAGUAUGUGGUUUAAUUCGACGCAACGCGAAGAACCUUACCAGGGCUUGACAUUGAGUGAAAUGUUAAGAGAUUAGCACCUCCCUUCGGGGACACGAAAACAGGUGGUGCAUGGCUGUCGUCAGCUCGUGUCGUGAGAUGUUGGGUUAAGUCCCGCAACGAGCGCAACCCUUAUCCUAUGUUGCCAGCGAGUAAUGUCGGGAACUCAUGGGAGACUGCCGCAGACAAUGCGGAGGAAGGCGGGGAUGACGUCAAGUCAUCAUGCCCCUUAUGUCCUGGGCUACACACGUACUACAAUGGGUCAGAAUAGAGGGAAGCGAGGCCGCGAGGCGGAGCGAACCCCAGAAAAUGGCUCUCAGUUCGGAUCGUAGGCUGCAACUCGCCUACGUGAAGUCGGAAUCGCUAGUAAUCGCAGGUCAGCAUACUGCGGUGAAUACGUUCCCGGGCCUUGUACACACCGCCCGUCACACCACGAGAGUUGACAACACCCGAAGCCGGUGAGGUAACCGCAAGGAGCCAGCCGUCGAAGGUGGGGUCAGUGAUUGGGGUGAAGUCGUAACAAGGUAGCCGUAUCGGAAGGUGCGGCU
This 604-nucleotide ribosomal RNA is filed under the name uncultured Anaerospora sp. RNAcentral's name for it is "bacterial SSU rRNA". It matches the Rfam family "Bacterial small subunit ribosomal RNA", at positions 917 to 1519 of the family's 1533-position model. Lineage: Bacteria; Bacillati; Bacillota; Negativicutes; Selenomonadales; Sporomusaceae. The record is from RNAcentral.